Molecule: transfer RNA, 70 nt
Filed under: Dipodomys ordii (Ord's kangaroo rat)
Lineage: Eukaryota; Metazoa; Chordata; Mammalia; Rodentia; Heteromyidae
Rfam family: tRNA
About the family: Transfer RNA (tRNA) molecules are approximately 80 nucleotides in length. Their secondary structure includes four short double-helical elements and three loops (D, anti-codon, and T loops).
Source: Rfam by way of RNAcentral
GGGAAGGUGGCUCAAUGGUAGAGUGCUUGCCUUGCAUGCAUGAGGUGCUGGGUUCGAUCCCUCAGUACCG